Non-coding RNA from Phoenix dactylifera (date palm), 1195 nucleotides. NCBI's taxonomy places the organism in Eukaryota, Viridiplantae, Streptophyta, Magnoliopsida, Arecales, Arecaceae. The record is from RefSeq and is a predicted model, not a curated record.
CCGCACUUUCCUUUCUUACUUCCCCCCCUGGCGCACGGCACGAGUCGCACCCCCCAUUUUCCUCGUGCGUCUUUGUUUAGACAAAGCUUAUUGGAAUCUCUGCUCCCCUCUCCCUCUUCCCCAUCUCAACAAACACCCCAACUAAUUAGCCGCGUCGAAAGCCAUCACUGUCCUGGAUUUUCUCAGCACCGAGAGCAGGAAGGCCCCCCAAACCCACCGCCAUGGAGCGCAAGAACUCCUUCCGAGGGAUCCAGGGUGCGAUCUCGCGGAUAAACCCGGAGCUACUGAGGAGCGUCAUCACCUCCGGCACGGCGGCGAAGGGCGGACCGGAGGCGAGAUCGCCGCCGGGAGCCGCCGCCUUCCGGCAUGCUACUGCGCCGCUGCCGGUGAUGACCUCUGCUUUCAGAUCGGGUUCCAAGGGGACGGCGCCGUUAACUAUCUUCUACAACGGCACGGUCGCCGUCUUCGAUCUUCCUCAAGAUAAGGCGGAAACUAUACUGAAGCUGGCGGAGAAAGGGAACGUCGGCGGCGUCGUGGAAGCGUCCGAUCCGACGUCGGCGUCAGGUCACCAAGAGGAUCUACUGGUGAAACUAAACGGAGAGCUCCUGCCUAUCGCCAGGAAGAAGUCAUUAGAGCGCUUCUUUGCCAAGCGGAAGGAAAGGUAUGCAUGGCUUUGCUCUCCGUUGCUUGUGAGGUCUUUCCUCUCCUUCUUUUAAUUCGAUUUGGGAGUGCUCCCGUGCUAACAAAUAAAUACCUCCCCCCGUCAUCCUCCUUUUUAUGUCCUCCCUGCUUCUCGACGCGGCGCGUGGGUCGUCGUUCGCUGCUCUCCCGUCGUCGUUGGUAAACGCUGACCGUGUGGCAACUUUACAAAAAGGCAGAGCGUGAAGUGAGCACGGCAUUGGUGAAGGAGACAAAGACAAUAAUAGCUGCCUAACUAUAUGUCUAGGCAAUCACGAGGGACUUCUCUGCACUUUUCUUAUCCUAAAGUUCCUAAGAACAAUGAUCUAUGGGUUUGUUUGGGGGUUUACUUGAGAUUUUCUGUUAUACAUACAUGUAAAAAGGGCAUGCUGGUACAAUUUAAGUAGACUCAAAAUUGUAUCUUUAAUUAAAAGAAUAUCUGGUACCGAGUCACUACAACAAUGUGGUCUAUUUGAUGUUUCAAAAAAAGGAUCAGUACAAGUACUUUGUUUUACUA